AGAGUUUGAUCAUGGCUCAGAUUGAACGCUGGCGGCAGGCCUAACACAUGCAAGUCGAGCGGUAGAGAGAAGCUUGCUUCUCUUGAGAGCGGCGGACGGGUGAGUAAUGCCUAGGAAUCUGCCUGGUAGUGGGGGAUAACGUUCGGAAACGGACGCUAAUACCGCAUACGUCCUACGGGAGAAAGCAGGGGACCUUCGGGCCUUGCGCUAUCAGAUGAGCCUAGGUCGGAUUAGCUAGUUGGUGAGGUGAUGGCUCACCAAGGCGACGAUCCGUAACUGGUCUGAGAGGAUGAUCAGUCACACUGGAACUGAGACACGGUCCAGACUCCUACGGGAGGCAGCAGUGGGGAAUAUUGGACAAUGGGCGAAAGCCUGAUCCAGCCAUGCCGCGUGUGUGAAGAAGGUCUUCGGAUUGUAAAGCACUUUAAGUUGGGAGGAAGGGUUGUAGAUUAAUACUCUGCAAUUUUGACGUUACCGACAGAAUAAGCACCGGCUAACUCUGUGCCAGCAGCCGCGGUAAUACAGAGGGUGCAAGCGUUAAUCGGAAUUACUGGGCGUAAAGCGCGCGUAGGUGGUUUGUUAAGUUGGAUGUGAAAUCCCCGGGCUCAACCUGGGAACUGCAUUCAAAACUGACUGACUAGAGUAUGGUAGAGGGUGGUGGAAUUUCCUGUGUAGCGGUGAAAUGCGUAGAUAUAGGAAGGAACACCAGUGGCGAAGGCGACCACCUGGACUAAUACUGACACUGAGGUGCGAAAGCGUGGGGAGCAAACAGGAUUAGAUACCCUGGUAGUCC
This 793-nucleotide ribosomal RNA is filed under the name uncultured bacterium. RNAcentral's name for it is "bacterial SSU rRNA". It matches the Rfam family "Bacterial small subunit ribosomal RNA", at positions 8 to 796 of the family's 1533-position model. The record is from RNAcentral.